RNAcentral lists this ribosomal RNA (95 nucleotides) under Bacillus sp. SRB_28. Its description in RNAcentral is "partial 16S ribosomal RNA". It matches the Rfam family "Eukaryotic small subunit ribosomal RNA", at positions 1573 to 1667 of the family's 1831-position model. Lineage: Bacteria; Bacillati; Bacillota; Bacilli; Caryophanales; Bacillaceae. The record is from RNAcentral.
GGGAUAGAUCAUUGCAAUUGUUGGUCUUCAACGAGGAAUUCCUAGUAGACGCAAGUCAUCAACUUGCAUCGAUUACGUCCCUGCCCUUUGUACAC